RNAcentral lists this ribosomal RNA (293 nucleotides) under uncultured bacterium. RNAcentral describes it as "partial 16S ribosomal RNA". It matches the Rfam family "Archaeal small subunit ribosomal RNA", at positions 455 to 747 of the family's 1478-position model. The record is from RNAcentral.
GUGCCAGCAGCCGCGGUAAUACCGGCAGCCCGAGCGAUGGCCGAUAUUAUUGGGCCUAAAGCGUCCGUAGCUGGCCGAACAAGUCCGUCGGGAAAUCCACUCGCCCAACGAGUGGGCGUCCGACGGAAACUGCACAGCUUGGGACCGGAAGGCUCGAAGGGUACGUUCGGGAUCGGAGUGAAAUCCCAUAAUCCCGCACGGACCACCGAUGGCGAAAGCACUUCGAGAAAACGGAUCCGACAGUGAGGGACGAAAGCCAGGGUCUCCAACCGGAUUAGAUACCCUGGUAGUCC